CCUACGGGAGGCAGCAGUGGGGGAUAUUGCACAAUGGGGGGAACCCUGAUGCAGCGACGCCGCGUGUGGGAAGACGGUCCUCUGGAUUGUAAACCACUGUCCCCAGGGACGAAAAUGACGGUACCUGGGGAGGAAGCUCCGGCUAACUACGUGCCCGCCGCCGCGGUAAUACGUAGGGAGCGAGCGUUGUCCGGAAUUACUGGGUGUAAAGGGAGCGUAGGCGGGGAUGCAAGUUGGGUGGCAAAACUACCGGCUCAACUGGUAGUCGCACUCAAAACUGCAGCUCUUGAGUGACGGAGAGGCAGGCGGAAUGCCUAGUGUAGCGGUGAAAUGCGUAGAUAUUAGGAGGAACACCAGUGGCGAAGGCGGCCUGCUGGGCUUUUACUGACGCUGAGGCUCGAAAGUGUGGGGAGCAAACAGGAUUAGAUACCCCUGUAGUC
Molecule: ribosomal RNA, 440 nt
Filed under: uncultured bacterium
Lineage: Bacteria
Description: partial 16S ribosomal RNA
Rfam family: Bacterial small subunit ribosomal RNA
Source: RNAcentral